CAGCGCAUCUGUUUUGGGUACAGAGGCGACGAGGGGUGCUAACCCGGCCAUAGGUUCGAAUCCUGUCACCUU
This 72-nucleotide transfer RNA is filed under the name Fragaria orientalis. RNAcentral describes it as "tRNA-Pro". The record is from RNAcentral. Lineage: Eukaryota; Viridiplantae; Streptophyta; Magnoliopsida; Rosales; Rosaceae.